AGAGUUUGAUCCUGGCUCAGAGUGAACGCUGGCGGCGUGCUUAACACAUGCAAGUCGAACGAGAACGGGUCUUAGCUUGCUAAGAUUGUCAGCUAAGUGGCGCACGGGUGAGUAAUAUAUAGGUAACGUGCCUUCAAGAAGGGGAUAACAAUUGGAAACGAUUGCUAAUACCCUAUAUGCCUUUAAGUCUUAAGUCUGCAAGGGAAAUAUUUAUAGCUUGAAGAUCGGCCUGUACAGUAUCAGUUAGUUGGUGAGGUAAUGGCUCACCAAGACAAUGACGCUUAACUGGUUUGAGAGGAUGAUCAGUCACACUGGAACUGAGACACGGUCCAGACUCCUACGGGAGGCAGCAGUGGGGAAUAUUGCACAAUGGACGAAAGUCUGAUGCAGCAACGCCGCGUGGAGGAUGACACAUUUCGGUGCGUAAACUCCUUUUAUAUAGGAAGAUAAUGACGGUACUAUAUGAAUAAGCACCGGC
RNAcentral lists this ribosomal RNA (478 nucleotides) under uncultured Campylobacterota bacterium. RNAcentral's name for it is "bacterial SSU rRNA". It matches the Rfam family "Bacterial small subunit ribosomal RNA", at positions 8 to 497 of the family's 1533-position model. Lineage: Bacteria; Pseudomonadati; Campylobacterota. The record is from RNAcentral.